UACGUAGGGAGCAAGCGUUGUCCGGAAUUAUUGGGCGUAAAGAGCUCGUAGGCGGUGUGUCACGUCGUUCGUGAAAACCUGCAGCUUAACUGUGGGCGUGCGGUCGAUACGGGCAUCACUGGAGUUCGGCAGGGGAGACUGGAAUUCCUGGUGUAGCGGUGAAAUGCGCAGAUAUCAGGAGGAACACCGGUGGCGAAGGCGGUUCUCUGGGCAUUACCUGACGCUGAGGAGCGAAAGCGUGGGGAGCGAACAGG
RNAcentral lists this ribosomal RNA (254 nucleotides) under uncultured bacterium. RNAcentral describes it as "partial 16S ribosomal RNA". It matches the Rfam family "Bacterial small subunit ribosomal RNA", at positions 524 to 776 of the family's 1533-position model. The record is from RNAcentral.